Molecule: ribosomal RNA, 468 nt
Filed under: uncultured bacterium
Lineage: Bacteria
Description: partial 16S ribosomal RNA
Rfam family: Bacterial small subunit ribosomal RNA
Source: RNAcentral
GACGAACGCUGGCGGCGUGCUUAACACAUGCAAGUCGAACGGAAAGGCCCUGCUUUUGUGGGGUGCUCGAGUGGCGAACGGGUGAGUAACACGUGAGUAACCUGCCCUAGACUUUGGGAUAACUUCAGGAAACUGGGGCUAAUACCGGAUAGGAGCUCCUGCUGCAUGGUGGGGGUUGGAAAGUUUCGGCGGUUGGGGAUGGACUCGCGGCUUAUCAGCUUGUUGGUGGGGUAGUGGCUUACCAAGGCUUUGACGGGUAGCCGGCCUGAGAGGGUGACCGGCCACAUUGGGACUGAGAUACGGCCCAGACUCCUACGGGAGGCAGCAGUGGGGAAUAGUGCACAAUGGGCGGAAGCCUGAUGCAGCAACGCCGCGUGCGGGAUGACGGCCUUCGGGUUGUAAACCGCUUUCGCCUGUGACGAAGCGUGAGUGACGGUAAUGGGUAAAGAAGCACCGGCUAACUACGUG